UUUGCUUUCUUUACAUUUUCUUUCUGCAAAUUUUGUAUUUUGUAUUGAAUUAUUAGGUACUGGUGAUCACAUGUAUCACUUUGCAUAGUUAAGGAUCUCAAUAUUUGAGUUACCUUUUAAUUCCUUACAAUCACUCUUACAGGAAGUGGAAUAUCUUGUUGUCUCUAGAAUAAAAAAAGCUGUAGCUGGAAAUAAAACAGUAGUUUGUAAAGCACACUGUUUUAGGAACAACCCUGCCAAAGUGGUUUGAGAUUCUGACAGUCUGUCAGCCUUCAAAUCUAGGAUAAAAAUAUAUUUGCUUAGUCAGUCCAAUAAGUAAAAUUUACAAUGAAUCUGCAUUCCUAUUUGUCCUUUGUCUUUUCUUUUUAAACUUGCUAUGUUAUUUUUAAUUUGUGUAAAACAAAACAGACCAUUUUUUAUUUUGUUCAAUUAUAAUCUGGUACUGACACCAAGAUUUUUGUCUCCAGGUUUAUGGCCUGGAAAUAGUUAAAGCUGCUUUGUGACAAUACUAAUUGUAAAAUGCACAAAAUAAUUCAAAUUUGAUUGCUUGAUUAAAACAGUUAUUUAGUAUUGUGAGUGAUUACUGUAGAUACAGAAUUUAAACUUGCUAAAGCUAUCCUGCUUUUUUGUCAUUUUUAUAGAAACACAUAACUAUUCAAUUGGGAGUGUCAGUACCACUGCUGACUCAAUGCAACAGAUGUUGCACCUUGUUCCAUUGUCCUUUUUGUAGUGGUAAUGUUUUUAAGCCCUCCAAACUGGAAAAAUUAAAAAAGCAUUUGAAGAGUCAUUUCAAGAAGGCAGUUCUCCAUGAAGUAACAUGACAAAACGAAUAUCUUCAGGCACAUGGAUACUAAUUAAAAACAAGAAUCUUCCACAGCAGUUGGUUGGGUCAGUGGAUUGUGGAGUAUUCAUGUUGAUGGACAAAGGCGUUCACUAAAGGGGCACUGGAGAGUGUGAAUGAGACCCAGAGCAGUGAGGAGGAACCACUAAUAAAAAGGGACCUCCACACUGCAGUAAAAUGGUUGCCCAACAU
Long non-coding RNA from Polypterus senegalus (gray bichir), 1033 nucleotides. RefSeq lists it as uncharacterized. The record is from RefSeq and is a predicted model, not a curated record. The transcript has 5 exons. NCBI's taxonomy places the organism in Eukaryota, Metazoa, Chordata, Cladistia, Polypteriformes, Polypteridae.